UGUGCCGAUAUGUAUCGAGCAGAACAAGGGAGCAAAGUGACACUAUUAAAAAGUUAGAAUUAGCAAUUGUUUUAGUAUUGACAUAUUUCGUGCCAGCAGUCGCGGUUAGACGAUUAAUACAAGUAAAUAUUAUUGGUUAAAGCAGUUAUUUAUAUAUUUGGGUUUAUUUAUUAAUUUAUAAGGUGGAAUUAUAUUUUAUUUUAAGGCUCAUUUUAUGAAUCUGUGAAACUUAAAUUAUAAACUAGGAUUAGAUACCCUAUUAUUUUAAAUGUAAAUUUUGUUUACCUGGGUACUAUUAGUUAAGAUCUUAAAACCCAAAGAAUUUGGCGGUAUCUUAUACCAUUCAGAGGAACCUACCCCAUAAUUGAUAAUACACGAUUUACUUUACUUAAUUUAUUUGUUUGUAUAUCUCCGUUAUCAGAAAAUCUUUUUAGAGUAAAAAUUUUCUUGAUUUAUAAUUUUAAAUUAUUUCAGGUCAAGGUGCAGCUUAUAAUUAAGUGGAGGUGGGUUACAAUAGAUUUUUUCUAUAAUGGAUUUAAUAAUUAAGUUUAUUAAUGAAGGUGGAUUUGAUAGUAAUUUAAUUUAUUUAAUUUAAUUGAUAUUGGCUCUAAGAUGUGUACACAUCGCCCGUCGCUCUCAUUUUAUUUUGGGAUUUUAAAUCUAAGUUAUUUAAAUGAGAUAAGUCGUAACAUAGUAGAUGUACUGGAAAGUGUAUCUAGAAAGAUUU
This 727-nucleotide non-coding RNA is filed under the name Pollostacris sp. OR322. RNAcentral's name for it is "partial 12S ribosomal RNA". It matches the Rfam family "Microsporidia small subunit ribosomal RNA", at positions 295 to 1311 of the family's 1311-position model. The record is from RNAcentral. Lineage: Eukaryota; Metazoa; Arthropoda; Insecta; Orthoptera; Acrididae.